This 253-nucleotide ribosomal RNA is filed under the name uncultured bacterium. Its description in RNAcentral is "partial 16S ribosomal RNA". It matches the Rfam family "Bacterial small subunit ribosomal RNA", at positions 524 to 776 of the family's 1533-position model. The record is from RNAcentral.
UACGAAGGGGGCUAGCGUUGUUCGGAAUUACUGGGCGUAAAGCGCACGCAGGCGGCUCGUUAAAUUAGAAGUGAAAGCCUUGGGCUUAACCUGAGAAUUGCUUUUAAGACUGGCGAGCUAGAAUCCAGAAGAGGGUAGUGGAAUUCCGAGUGUAGAGGUGAAAUUCGUAGAUAUUCGGAAGAACACCAGUGGCGAAGGCGACUACCUGGUCUGGCAUUGACGCUCAUGUGCGAAAGCGUGGGGAGCAAACAGG